UAUUUCAUAGUCAGAAAAAUU
This 21-nucleotide non-coding RNA is filed under the name Caenorhabditis elegans. Lineage: Eukaryota; Metazoa; Nematoda; Chromadorea; Rhabditida; Rhabditidae. The record is from RNAcentral.